UCCACCGCGAGGUGGAAAUCUAGAAGGAAGCUCAAGGCAAAUGCACGAGCCAACGUACAUGAACUGGAUUUGAGGCAGGGUUAGCUGGAUGAAGUCGCCAAGACUGGUCGAUGCAACAGGGCGUAUUCAUUUUCGAGAACUCGAAAAGUUGGAAGUUUAACACGGGCUGAAGUGUUGAUGUGC
This is a non-coding RNA of Paenibacillus sp., 183 nucleotides long. The record is from Rfam. NCBI's taxonomy places the organism in Bacteria, Bacillati, Bacillota, Bacilli, Caryophanales, Paenibacillaceae.